GCGGUAUGCUUAACACAUGCAAAGUCGAACGAAAGCUUUAUGCUUUAGUGGCGAACGGGUGCGUAAUACGUGAGAAUCUGCCCUUAGGAGGAGAAUAACUUCUGGAAACGGUUGCUAAGUCUCCAUAUGCCGAGAGGUAAAAUAGUUUACACUGCCUAGGGAUGAGCUCACGCCUGAUUAGCUUGUUGGUAAGGUAAUGGCUUACCAAGGCCACGAUCAGUAGCUGGUUUGAGAGAACGAUCAGCCACACUGGGACUGAGACACGGCCCAGACUCCUCCGGGAGGCAGCGGUGAGGAAAUUUCCGCGAUGGGCGAAAGCCUGACGGAGCAAUACCGCGUGAGGAUGAAGGAUUUUGGUCUGUAAACCUCUUUCUCGAGAAAGAAGUGCUGACGGUACUUGAGGAAUAAGCGUCGGCUAACUCCGUGCCAGCCGCCGCGGUAAUACA
This 446-nucleotide ribosomal RNA is filed under the name uncultured cyanobacterium. Its description in RNAcentral is "bacterial SSU rRNA". It matches the Rfam family "Bacterial small subunit ribosomal RNA", at positions 39 to 527 of the family's 1533-position model. The record is from RNAcentral. Lineage: Bacteria; Bacillati; Cyanobacteriota.